Molecule: RNA transcript, 918 nt
Organism: Panicum virgatum (switchgrass)
Lineage: Eukaryota; Viridiplantae; Streptophyta; Magnoliopsida; Poales; Poaceae
Gene name: protein AE7-like
Exons: 7
Source: RefSeq, a predicted model, not a curated record
GAGCAACUCCAACUCUCCAAUAUAUCCUCGUAACAGAGAAACCAACACAACCCCGCUACGGACUCUCAUCCGAGUCGAGGAGCAGCGGCCGCCCCUUCCCGCGCCGGCACGGACGCCGCUCCCGCCAGGAAUAUCUUUAUUAUCUAAAGAUAGUGCAUUGUGCUAAGUAAAAAUGGUUUUGGGAUUGAUAAAUGCUAACCCUGUAAUCCAUGAGAAAAAAGAGAGGCGCGUACGACAGGCACCGGAGACCACAGAUGAAAAUGCAGUAGAGCCUAUAGAUCAGCUGGAAAUAUUUGAUCACAUUAGAGAUAUAAAGGAUCCAGAGCACCCAUAUUCAUUGGAACAGCUGAAUGUGGUAACUGAAGACUCAGUUGAACUGAAUGAUGAAAGAAAUUAUGUCAGGGUUACCUUCACCCCCACAGUGGAGCACUGCAGUAUGGCAACUGUUAUUGGCCUCUGCAUACGCGUGAAACUCAUUCGGAGCCUCCCUCCUCGUUACAAGGUGGACAUAAGGGUAGCCCCUGGAUCACACUCCACAGAAGCUGCUGUGAAUAAGCAACUGAACGACAAGGAACGUGUUGCGGCUGCACUGGAAAACCCAAACCUACUGGACAUGGUCGAAGAGUGCUUGUUGCCAACAUUUGACUGAGGCUUGAACAUAUCUCGGCCGAGCUCACACAAGCUCACACUCCUGUCUUUUGAGAAUUGGGAUGCCUUGGCUGUUGCAGGAGGUGUGCAUGAAUUUUAGUUAUCCACUCCUUUUAAGUUAUUUUAUUAUUACUUUUUUUUCCUGGACGGCUUUGGUGCUUGUGAUCUUCCUGAACGAAGGGCAUGUAUAGUGUAUACCCAAACAAUCAACUGAGCUUAGUAGGAGAAUACGGGAAUCCCCAAAUAUCAAGUUGUUUCUCUUUCUUUAUU